Mycena galericulata is the source of this 107-nucleotide non-coding RNA. The record is from the annotation of a GenBank genome assembly. Lineage: Eukaryota; Fungi; Basidiomycota; Agaricomycetes; Agaricales; Mycenaceae.
GGGCAAAUAGUGUAGUUGGUUAUCGCGCCCGCUUCGCACCAUAGAUCAUGUGAUUCGUCACGUGAUUGCUAUGCGGGAGGUGCUGGGUUCAAUUCCCAGUUUGUCCA